This 201-nucleotide long non-coding RNA is filed under the name Gossypium barbadense (sea-island cotton). RNAcentral's name for it is "long non-coding RNA (GBAR_LNC015518)". Lineage: Eukaryota; Viridiplantae; Streptophyta; Magnoliopsida; Malvales; Malvaceae. The record is from RNAcentral.
CCAGCCCAAUCAAGAAAUCCAUCCAUACUUAGUUGAAAAUCAGGCCAAAUUGUCAAAGUGGCCCAAGUUGUAAAGUUUUAUUUUUAUUUUUAUUUAUUUAUUUAUUUAUUUACUUAGUUUAAAUUUUUAUGUCAAUAUCCAGUCCAAGAGUCCCAGAUAAAAUGACCUUUGACCGAAUUUCCAUAUUAAAAUAAUUAGGAG